This 495-nucleotide ribosomal RNA is filed under the name uncultured bacterium. RNAcentral describes it as "partial 16S ribosomal RNA". It matches the Rfam family "Bacterial small subunit ribosomal RNA", at positions 28 to 507 of the family's 1533-position model. The record is from RNAcentral.
GACGAACGCUGGCGGCGUGCCUAAUACAUGCCAGUAGAACGCUGAAGGAGGAGCUUGCUUCUCUGGAUGAGUUGCGAACGGGUGAGUAACGCGUAGGUAACCUGCCUGGUAGUGGGGGAUAACUAUUGGAAACGAUAGCUAAUACCGCAUAAUAGCAGUUGUUGCAUGAUAACUGUUUGAAAGGUGCAAUUGCACCGCUACCAGAUGGACCUGCGUUGUAUUAGCUAGUUGGUGGGGUAACGGCUCACCAAGGCGACGAUACAUAGCCGACCUGAGAGGGUGAUCGGCCACACUGGGACUGAGACACGGCCCAGACUCCUACGGGAGGCAGCAGUAGGGAAUCUUCGGCAAUGGACGGAAGUCUGACCGAGCAACGCCGCGUGAGUGAAGAAGGUUUUCGGAUCGUAAAGAUCUGUUGUAAGAGAAGAACGAGUGUGAGAGUGGAAAGUUCACACUGUGACGGUAUCUUACCAGAAAGGGACGGCUAACUACGUG